This 450-nucleotide ribosomal RNA is filed under the name uncultured bacterium. Its description in RNAcentral is "partial 16S ribosomal RNA". It matches the Rfam family "Bacterial small subunit ribosomal RNA", at positions 354 to 796 of the family's 1533-position model. The record is from RNAcentral.
GUGGGGAAUAUUCCGCAAUGGACGAAAGUCUGACGGAGCAACGCCGCGUGAGUGAUGAAGGUUUUCGGACUGUAAAGCUCUGUUGUUUAGGACGAAAGUGCCUGUUGCAAAUAGUUACAGGUAUUGACGGUACUGAACGAGGAAGCCACGGCUAACUACGUGCCAGCAGCCGCGGUAAUACGUAGGUGGCAAGCGUUGUCCGGAAUUAUUGGGCGUAAAGAGCAUGUAGGCGGGAAUCUAAGUCUGUUGUGAAAAUGCGGGGCUCAACCCCGUAUUGCGAUGGAAACUGGGUGUCUGGAGUGCAGGAGAGGAAAGGGGAAUUCCCAGUGUAGCGGUGAAAUGCGUAGAUAUGGGGAGGAACACCAGUGGCGAAGGCGCCUUUCUGGACUGUGUCUGACGCUGAGAUGCGAAAGCCAGGGUAGCGAACGGGAUUAGAUACCCCAGUAGUCC